This is a long non-coding RNA of Ixodes scapularis (black-legged tick), 239 nucleotides long. RefSeq lists it as uncharacterized. The transcript is spliced from 3 exons. The record is from RefSeq and is a predicted model, not a curated record. NCBI's taxonomy places the organism in Eukaryota, Metazoa, Arthropoda, Arachnida, Ixodida, Ixodidae.
AGAUGUGGGGAGCAGUCUCACGGAUUUGACCUCUGGCACGAAGACUAGCCCUCCAACCAGAGUUCAUGUGGAUCACACAUACGCGAUGCAAGGCGCGAUGGAUGGACAUGGCCCGCCGUCUGGAGGAAACGAUGUGUGGGCACCUGAACCUUCCCCUACCGAUUAUGAUGCGUCGGUGUCUUCGACUUCUGCGGUUCCUCACCAACGGUCCUGUGCCACCCGCACCGAGGGCAAGGGGA